This 100-nucleotide microRNA precursor is filed under the name Pelobates cultripes (western spadefoot toad). The record is from RNAcentral. Lineage: Eukaryota; Metazoa; Chordata; Amphibia; Anura; Pelobatidae.
AUCCUCCCUCCCAGACCCUCCCACCUCCUGGACAGCUCACUAAGAAUGCAGCUUCAAAAUGGAUGCUGUCCAGGAGGUGGGAGGGUCUGGGAGGGAGGGU